RNAcentral lists this unclassified non-coding RNA (332 nucleotides) under soil metagenome. Its description in RNAcentral is "partial contains 5.8S ribosomal RNA, internal transcribed spacer 2, and large subunit ribosomal RNA". The stretch from base 1 to 120 matches the Rfam family "5.8S ribosomal RNA", at positions 35 to 154 of the family's 154-position model. The record is from RNAcentral.
GAUGAAGAACGCAGUGAAAUGCGAUAAAUAAUGUGAAUUGCAGAAUUCAGUGAAUCAUCGAAUCUUUGAACGCACAUUGCGCCCGCUAGUAUUCUGGCGGGCAUGCCUGUUCGAGCGUCAUUUCAACCAUCAAGCCCUGUUUAGGCUUGUGUUGGGGCCCUGCGGCUGCCGCAGCCCCCUAAAUGCAGUGGCGGGCUCGUUGUCACUCCGAGCGCAGUAGCGUAUCUCGCUCUGGGCGUGGCGGCGGGUGCUAGCCGUGAAACACCCACUAAGGUUGACCUCGGAUCAGGUAGGAAUACCCGCUGAACUUAAGCAUAUCAAUAAGCGGAGGA